UACGUAGGAGGCGAGCGUUGUCCGGAAUUACUGGGCGUAAAGCGUGCGUAGGUGGUUUGUUAAGUCUGAUGUGAAAGCCCUGGGCUCAACCUGGGAAUUGCAUUGGAUACUGGCAGGCUAGAGUGCGGUAGAGGAUGGCGGAAUUCCCGGUGUAGCAGUGAAAUGCGUAGAGAUCGGGAGGAACAUCUGUGGCGAAGGCGGCCAUCUGGACCAGCACUGACACUGAGGCACGAAAGCGUGGGGAGCAAACAGG
This 253-nucleotide ribosomal RNA is filed under the name uncultured bacterium. RNAcentral's name for it is "partial 16S ribosomal RNA". It matches the Rfam family "Bacterial small subunit ribosomal RNA", at positions 524 to 776 of the family's 1533-position model. The record is from RNAcentral.